RNAcentral lists this transfer RNA (77 nucleotides) under Brevibacterium paucivorans. RNAcentral describes it as "tRNA-Pro". It matches the Rfam family "tRNA". Rfam says of the family: Transfer RNA (tRNA) molecules are approximately 80 nucleotides in length. The record is from RNAcentral. Lineage: Bacteria; Bacillati; Actinomycetota; Actinomycetes; Micrococcales; Brevibacteriaceae. RNAcentral also lists the same sequence under 1 other name.
CGGGGUGUGGCGCAGCUUGGUAGCGCAUUCGCUUUGGGAGCGAAGGGUCGCAGGUUCAAAUCCUGUCACCCCGACAA